AUUGAACGCUGGCGGCAGGCCUAACACAUGCAAGUCGAACGAGUGGCGGACGGGUGAGUAAUGUCUGGGCAACUGCCCGAUGGAGGGGGAUAACUAAUGGAAACGGUAACGAAAACCGCACACAAUCAGCUGUGCCAAUAUGGGAUUGGCUUGUUGGGGGGGUAACGGCUAACCAAGGCGACGACCCCUAGCUGGUCUGAGAGGAUGAACAGCCAAACUGGAACUGCGACACGGUCCAGACUCCUACGGGAGGCAGCAGUGGGGAAUAUUGCACAAUGGGCGCAAGCCUGAUGCAGCCAUGCCGCGUGUAUGAAGAAGGCCUUCGGGUUGUAAAGUACUUUCAGCGGGGAGGCGUUACCCGCAGAAGAAGCACCGGCUAACUCCGUGCCAGCAGCCGCGGUAAUAC
Molecule: ribosomal RNA, 406 nt
Filed under: uncultured bacterium
Lineage: Bacteria
Description: partial 16S ribosomal RNA
Rfam family: Bacterial small subunit ribosomal RNA
Source: RNAcentral